GAUGAACGCUGACGGCGUGCCUAAUACAUGCAAGUCGAGCGAACGGACGAGAAGCUUGCUUCUCUGAUGUUAGCGGCGGACGGGUGAGUAACACGUGGAUAACCUGCCUAUAAGACUGGGAUAACUUCGGGAAACCGGAGCUAAUACCGGAUAAUAUUUUGAACCGCAUGGUUCAAAAGUGAAAGACGGUCUUGCUGUCACUUAUAGAUGGAUCCGCGCUGCAUUAGCUAGUUGGUAAGGUAACGGCUUACCAAGGCAACGAUGCAUAGCCGACCUGAGAGGGUGAUCGGCCACACUGGAACUGAGACACGGUCCAGACUCCUACGGGAGGCAGCAGUAGGGAAUCUUCCGCAAUGGGCGAAAGCCUGACGGAGCAACGCCGCGUGAGUGAUGAAGGUCUUCGGAUCGUAAAACUCUGUUAUUAGGGAAGAACAUAUGUGUAAGUAACUGUGCACAUCUUGACGGUACCUAAUCAGAAAGCCACGGCUAACUACGUG
This 497-nucleotide ribosomal RNA is filed under the name uncultured bacterium. RNAcentral's name for it is "partial 16S ribosomal RNA". It matches the Rfam family "Bacterial small subunit ribosomal RNA", at positions 28 to 507 of the family's 1533-position model. The record is from RNAcentral.